RNAcentral lists this ribosomal RNA (201 nucleotides) under Triticum aestivum (bread wheat). The record is from RNAcentral. Lineage: Eukaryota; Viridiplantae; Streptophyta; Magnoliopsida; Poales; Poaceae.
AUGGGCAAAACAAACGCUCGUUGGUUUAGUCCCACAUCGGCCAGCCGGGGAGAGUCGGACUGGUUUAUAAGGCAGAGCGCGGCAGCUAGCAUCGUCCCUUCUGGGACAUCCGAUAAAAUUGGAAUGAUACAGAGAAGAUUAGCAUGGCCCCUGCGCAAGGACGACACGCACAAAUCGAGAAAUGGUCCAAUUUUUUUUUGA